This 307-nucleotide ribosomal RNA is filed under the name Acanthamoeba sp. GAK1. Its description in RNAcentral is "partial small subunit ribosomal RNA". It matches the Rfam family "Bacterial small subunit ribosomal RNA", at positions 904 to 1177 of the family's 1533-position model. The record is from RNAcentral. Lineage: Eukaryota; Discosea; Longamoebia; Acanthamoebidae.
AAGAAACUGACGGAAGAUUGUAUAAGCGGUGGAGUAUGUGGUUUAAUUUGAUAUAACGCAAAGAAUCUUACCAACCCUUGAAUAUAGGUUAUUUCGCUGUUUAAUUUUGGUUUUCUAAAAUUAAACAGGAAAGUAUGGAAUUGCAUUUUUAAAAAUGUUUUUUCAUUGAUCUAUACAGGUGCUGCAUGGUUGUCGGCAGUUCGUGUUGUGAAAUGUUUUGUUAAUUCAUUUAACGGACGCAACCUUCGGCUUUAUUUGUUUUAAAAAAUAGAGCAAUUACUAAUUUGAAAAUUACUUGAAAGGAGAG